GAUCAUGGCUCGAGAACGAACGCUGGCGGCGCGUUUAAGCAUGCAAGUCGAGCGGCAAGGGCCUUCGGGCCCCUAGAGCGGCGGACGGGUGAGUAACACGUGGACAAUCCGCCCCCCGGCCCGGGAUAGCCCCAGGGAAACCUGGAUUAAUACCGGAUGAGACGGGACCCGCGAUGGCGGGACCCGGGAAAGGCGCUGCGGCGCCGCCGGGGGAUGAGUCUGCGUCCCAUUAGCUAGACGGCGGGGUAACGGCCCACCGUGGCGACGAUGGGUAGCCGGCCUGAGAGGGUGGACGGCCACAUUGGAACUGAGACACGGUCCAGACUCCUACGGGAGGCAGCAGCUAAGAAUCUUCCGCAAUGGGCGAAAGCCUGACGGAGCCGACGCCGCGUGAACGAAGAAGGCCGUGAGGUUGUAAAGUUCUUUUCGGGAGGGGAACAACCGUGGCAGGGAAUGGCCGCGGGAUGACGUGAAUCCCGGAAUAAGCCCCGGCUAACUACGUGCCAGCAGCCGC
Molecule: ribosomal RNA, 514 nt
Filed under: uncultured bacterium
Lineage: Bacteria
Description: bacterial SSU rRNA
Rfam family: Bacterial small subunit ribosomal RNA
Source: RNAcentral